UUUCCGUAGGUGAACCUGCGGAAGGAUCAUUAUCAUGUAAUUCAGUCCCCUUGGCUGUGUUAUAUAUAUACCCACUCUGUGUACCUUCUCCUGUUGCUUCCGCUGGGUGUGUAAUUCGCCCGGCGGAAGGGUAAAAAUAACCUCUGAGUAUUGAUGAAAUCUCUGUCUGAACCGAAUAGAAAGAAAAAUGUUAAAACUUUCAGCAACGGAUCUCUUGGUUCUCGCAUCGAUGAAGACGCAGC
RNAcentral lists this unclassified non-coding RNA (242 nucleotides) under plant metagenome. RNAcentral describes it as "partial contains small subunit ribosomal RNA, internal transcribed spacer 1, and 5.8S ribosomal RNA". The stretch from base 195 to 242 matches the Rfam family "5.8S ribosomal RNA", at positions 1 to 49 of the family's 154-position model. The record is from RNAcentral.